CAGCAUCUCAUGGUCUCCCAUAAUUUCAUCUAUCAACUCAGCAACAGAUUUAUCAGCACUGUUGGGAACAAGAGCAGCAAAUACAGCUGGCUGUAAUCCUGCUUACAAAUAUAUCGGGGUAUUGUAGGCAAAAAAAUGUUGAAUACCAGUCUCGGGGAAAGCAUCGAUGAACAUCAUCAUCUCCUCACCACUAAGACCAGA
This is a long non-coding RNA of Hibiscus syriacus, 201 nucleotides long. RefSeq lists it as uncharacterized. The record is from RefSeq and is a predicted model, not a curated record. The transcript has 2 exons. NCBI's taxonomy places the organism in Eukaryota, Viridiplantae, Streptophyta, Magnoliopsida, Malvales, Malvaceae.